This 76-nucleotide transfer RNA is filed under the name Blattabacterium sp. (Nauphoeta cinerea). RNAcentral's name for it is "tRNA-Val". The record is from RNAcentral. Lineage: Bacteria; Pseudomonadati; Bacteroidota; Flavobacteriia; Flavobacteriales; Blattabacteriaceae.
UUACAAGCAGGAGGUCACUGGUUCGAAUCCAGUAUUGCCCACAUUUUUUAUAAUAAAAUUAAAUAUUUUUUCUUUU